GACUCCAUGGCGCAAUGGUAGCGCGUUCGACUCCAGGAUUGGUUCAUCGAAAGGUUGCGUGUCCAAGUCACGUUGGGGUCA
This 81-nucleotide transfer RNA is filed under the name Puccinia graminis f. sp. tritici. RNAcentral's name for it is "tRNA-Trp". It matches the Rfam family "tRNA". Rfam says of the family: Transfer RNA (tRNA) molecules are approximately 80 nucleotides in length. Their secondary structure includes four short double-helical elements and three loops (D, anti-codon, and T loops). Lineage: Eukaryota; Fungi; Basidiomycota; Pucciniomycetes; Pucciniales; Pucciniaceae. The record is from RNAcentral.